This 1315-nucleotide ribosomal RNA is filed under the name Neoeriocheir leptognathus. RNAcentral's name for it is "16S ribosomal RNA". The record is from RNAcentral. Lineage: Eukaryota; Metazoa; Arthropoda; Malacostraca; Decapoda; Varunidae.
AUCAAAACCAAAAAUAAUUUUAAUUAUUUAAUCCUUUCGUACUAAAAUAAUUUUUUUUUUUUAAAAGAUAGAAACCAACCUGGCUUACGCCGGUUUGAACUCAAAUCAUGUAAAAUUUUAAAGGUCGAACAGACCUACUUUUAUAACUGCUGCAAUUAUAAAGAUAUUUUAAUUCAACAUCGAGGUCGCAAACUUUUCUUUCGAUAAGCACUCUUAAGAAAAAUAACGCUGUUAUCCCUAAAGUAACUUAAACUUUUAAUCUUUAAUUAGGAUCAAUCAUAAAUUAAUUCACGCAUAGGUGUAAUUAAAAUUAAGCAGUUAUCAAACAUUAUACUUUUAUCGCCCCAAUAAAAUAAAUUUAAUUAUUAGAUUUUUAUUGAAAAAAAAUUUAAUCAAAUAAAAUUUUAAUAUUAAGCUUUAUAGGGUCUUAUCGUCCCAUUAAACUAUCUAAGCCUUUUCACUUAGAAGUAAAAUUCAAUAAUCAAUACAAAGACAGUUUUUCUUUUGUCCAACCAUUCAUACAAGAUUCCAAUUAAAAAACUAACGAUUAUGCUACCUUUGCACGGUCAGGAUACCGCGGCCAUUUAAUAUUUAUUAAUCAGUGGGCAGGUUAAACUUUUUAUAACUACAAACAGACAUGUUUUUGAUAAACAGGCAAAGAAAUUAUUUUUGCCGAAUUCCUUUAUACUGUCCAAUUAAUUUUAAAUAGUUUUUAUUAUUUUAUUAUUUUUUUUUACAAUAAAUUUUUACUUAUAGAAUCAUUUUAAUUUUUUUUAUUUUGUUUAAAUUUAUUUUUUAAUACUACAAAAAGCUUUAAUAAAUAUUAUAUUAAAUUAUGAUUUAAUUAAAACACUUUAUUAAUAUGACUAUUUUUAAGCCUAAUUCAUUAUUUUGUUUUUAUUUUGCUUUUUUUUAUUCAAAUUUAUAAGAAGCUAAUCCCUCCUACAUUUUAAUUUUAUAUUUUAUAAACAUAAAAAUUGAAUUAAAUUCUUUUUUAAAAAACUAGAUAUAAUAAAACUCGAUUAGCAUUUCACCUUUAAUUUUAUAUUCAAAAUUUAUUUUCCACAAAAAAUUUUUUAUAAAAUUAGCUAUAUUUUAUUUCGAGAUAUUUAAUUCAUUAAUUUAUAUAAAUUCUCCCUGAUACACGAGGUACAAUAAUUUAACUUUUCUAACUUAAAUUUUAUUUUACUUUCCUUUACAGUACUUUUAACUAUAGUCUUACAAAUCAUAUUCAUUAAAAAUUACUAGCGAUUAAAAUUUUAAAAUUAUUUUUCUUAAAUUUUCUAAUUAGUAUUAUUUUUUGACAAGUUAUAAA